UAUUAAAUUUAUGGGCGAACGACGGGAAUUGAACCCGCGCAUGGUGGAUUCACAAUCCACUGCCUUGAUCCACUU
This 75-nucleotide transfer RNA is filed under the name Prunus dulcis (almond). RNAcentral's name for it is "tRNA-His". Lineage: Eukaryota; Viridiplantae; Streptophyta; Magnoliopsida; Rosales; Rosaceae. The record is from RNAcentral.